This is a non-coding RNA of Pelobates cultripes (western spadefoot toad), 206 nucleotides long. The record is from the annotation of a GenBank genome assembly. NCBI's taxonomy places the organism in Eukaryota, Metazoa, Chordata, Amphibia, Anura, Pelobatidae.
GCAAGACAAUGCUAGACCUCAUGUGGCUGGAGUGUGUCAGCAGUUCCUGCAAGACGAAGGCAUUGAUGCUAUGGACUGGCCUGCCCGUUCCAUAGACCUGAAUCCAAUUGAGCACAUCUGGGACAUCAUGUCUUGCUCCAUCCACCAACACAACAGUGCACCACCGACUGUCCAGGAGUUGGCAGAUGCUUUAGUCCAGGUCUGGG